This 53-nucleotide ribosomal RNA is filed under the name Petasospora amylophila. RNAcentral describes it as "Cyberlindnera amylophila partial 26S ribosomal RNA". RNAcentral also lists the same sequence under 1 other name. Lineage: Eukaryota; Fungi; Ascomycota; Saccharomycetes; Phaffomycetales; Wickerhamomycetaceae. The record is from RNAcentral.
CCUCAAUCAGGUAGGAUUACCCGCUGAACUUAAGCAUAUCAAUAAGCGGAGGA